Molecule: ribosomal RNA, 497 nt
Filed under: uncultured bacterium
Lineage: Bacteria
Description: partial 16S ribosomal RNA
Rfam family: Bacterial small subunit ribosomal RNA
Source: RNAcentral
GACGAACGCUGGCGGCGUGCCUAAUACAUGCAAGUUGAGCGCUGAAGGUUGGUACUUGUACCAACUGGAUGAGCAGCGAACGGGUGAGUAACGCGUGGGGAAUCUGCCUUUGAGCGGGGGACAACAUUUGGAAACGAAUGCUAAUACCGCAUAAAAACUUUAAACACAAGUUUUAAGUUUGAAAGAUGCAAUUGCAUCACUCAAAGAUGAUCCCGCGUUGUAUUAGCUAGUUGGUGAGGUAAAGGCUCACCAAGGCGAUGAUACAUAACCGACCUGAGAGGGUGAUCGGCCACAUUGGGACUGAGACACGGCCCAAACUCCUACGGGAGGCAGCAGUAGGGAAUCUUCGGCAAUGGACGAAAGUCUGACCGAGCAACGCCGCGUGAGUGAAGAAGGUUUUCGGAUCGUAAAACUCUGUUGGUAGAGAAGAACGUUGGUGAGAGUGGAAAGCUCAUCAAGUGACGGUAACUACCCAGAAAGGGACGGCUAACUACGUG